RNAcentral lists this long non-coding RNA (701 nucleotides) under Homo sapiens (human). Its description in RNAcentral is "non-protein coding lnc-MTFP1-4:1". Lineage: Eukaryota; Metazoa; Chordata; Mammalia; Primates; Hominidae. The record is from RNAcentral.
CACAAUCAGGUCCCAUUCUAUAGAUGGGGAAACUGAGGCUUGAGGUCACAUAGGCGUCGUUCAAGGCUGGUAUACCUGCACCCUCUCCCAUGUGAACAACAUGGUUCUGGGUAAUGGGGGCUGUCAUCCAGUCUCCUCCCUGCCCCUGCUGGUGCACUUCCUGCCUCUGCUGGUGCACUUUCUGCCCCUACUGGUAUAUUUGCUGCCUCUGCUGGGGCGCUUCCUGCCUCGGCUGGUGUAUCUCCUGCCCCUGCUGGUGCACUUUCUGCCCCCGCUGAUGCACUUCCUGCCUCUGCUGGUGCACUUCCUGGCUCUGCUGGCGCACUUCCUGCCUCUGCUGGUGCACUUCCUGGCUCUGCUGGCGCACUUCCUGCCCCUGCUGGUGUAUUUCCUGCCCCUGCUGGUGUACUUCCUUCCCCUGCUGGUGCACUUCCUGCCUCUGCUGGCGCACUUCUUGCCUCUCCAGGCCCUACCUAGCCUCUCCCUCUUAUAUAUGGAAGUCUUCCCAGUUCACUGACACUGGUAACAGGGACUCUGCUCUUGGUGUUGCUGUCUGCCCUGGGGAUGGGCAUCUGUGUCUUCCUUUACUACUGCUGGCUCAGGACCCAGAGCUUUGAAGCAUGUCCAGAUGCAGGUCCGGGCACCAGAGUCUAAGGAGCCCCUACACCCACCAGGAUUUUCCAAUAAAGAGAUGUUCACCA